GAUGAAGAACGCAGCGAAAUGCGAUAAGUAAUGCGAAUUGCAGAAUUUCCGUGAGUCAUCGAAUCUUUGAACGCACAUUGCGCCCACUGGUAUUCCGGUGGGCAUGCCUGUUCGAGCGUCAUUAUCCUCCCUCAAACCCCGGGUUUGGUGUCGGACCCAAGUUGUGUGAACAACUGGUCUCAAAGACAAUGACGGCGUCCGUGGGACCCUCGGUGCAACGAGCUUUUAGGAGCACGCAUCGAGUUGCAAGGACCUUCCGGGCCGGUCUCCUUUACCAUUUUACAAGGUUGACCUCGGAUCAGGUAGGAAUACCCGCUGAACUUAAGCAUAUCAAUAAGCGGAGGA
Molecule: unclassified non-coding RNA, 345 nt
Filed under: soil metagenome
Description: partial contains 5.8S ribosomal RNA, internal transcribed spacer 2, and large subunit ribosomal RNA
Rfam family: 5.8S ribosomal RNA (bases 1-121)
Source: RNAcentral